Molecule: transfer RNA, 70 nt
Filed under: Hyloxalus craspedoceps
Lineage: Eukaryota; Metazoa; Chordata; Amphibia; Anura; Dendrobatidae
Description: tRNA-Val
Rfam family: tRNA
About the family: Transfer RNA (tRNA) molecules are approximately 80 nucleotides in length.
Source: RNAcentral
CAAAAUGUAGCUUAACCUAAAGCAUUCCGCUUACACCGGAAUAAUAUCCGUGAGACCCUGAUCGUUUUGA